AGCGAACGCUGGCGGCAUGCUUAACACAUGCAAGUCGCACGGGCGGGGGCAACUCCGUCAGUGGCGGACGGGUGAGUAACGCGUAGGAAUCUAUCCUUGAAUGGGGGACAACCGUGGGAAACUACGGCUAAUACCGCAUGAUGCCUGAGGGCCAAAGACGAAAGUCGUUUGAGGAGGAGCCUGCGUCUGAUUAGGUAGUUGGUGGGGUAAAGGCCUACCCAAGCCUACGAUCAGUAGCUGGUCUGAGAGGAUGAUCAGCCACAUUGGGACUGAGACACGGCCCAAACUCCUACGGGAGGGCAGCAGUGGGGAAGUAUUGGACAAUGGGCGGCCAAGCCUGAUCCCAGCAAUGCCGCGUGGGUGAAGAAGGUCUUCGGGAUUAGUAAAGCCCUUUUGGCGGGGACGGAUGAUGACGGUACCCCGCAGAAUAAGCCUCCGGCUAACUUCGUG
RNAcentral lists this ribosomal RNA (450 nucleotides) under uncultured bacterium. RNAcentral describes it as "bacterial SSU rRNA". It matches the Rfam family "Bacterial small subunit ribosomal RNA", at positions 29 to 507 of the family's 1533-position model. The record is from RNAcentral.